Molecule: ribosomal RNA, 379 nt
Filed under: uncultured eukaryote
Lineage: Eukaryota
Description: partial 18S ribosomal RNA
Rfam family: Eukaryotic small subunit ribosomal RNA
Source: RNAcentral
CAAUAGCGUAUAUUUAAGUUGUUGCAGUUAAAAAGCUCGUAGUUGGAUUUCGGAUGGGAUCUGCCGGUCCGUCUUCGAGAUGUGUACUGGUAGGUCCUAUCUUGUUGUCGGGGACCAGCUCCUGGGCUUCACUGUCCGGGACUGGGAGCCGACGAAGUUACUUUGAGUAAAUUAGAGUGUUCAAAGCAAGCCUACGCUCUGAAUAUAUUAGCAUGGAAUAACACGAUAGGACUCUGGCUUAUCUUGUUGGUCUGUGAGACCAGAGUAAUGAUUAAGAGGGACAGUCGGGGACAUUCGUAUUUCAUUGUCAGAGGUGAAAUUCUUGGAUUUAUGAAAGACGAACUUCUGCGAAAGCAUUUGUCAAGGAUGUUUUCAUUAA